GCUGGCGGUGCGCCUUAUGCAUGCAAGUCGAGCGAAGCUUUUCAGUAGUUUACUACAGAAAAUGACUGAGCGGCGAACGGGUGAGUAACGCGUGAGCAAUCUACCUUAGUUACAGGGAUAGCCCGAGGAAACUCGGAUUAAUACCUGAUAUUCUUUAUUUCUCGCAUGAGAAUAAAAGGAAAGGUCAGCCGAACUAAGAUGAGCUCGCGUUCUAUCAGCUAGUUGGUGAGGUAAAAGCUUACCAAGGCUACGACGGAUAGCUGGUCUGAGAGGACGAUCAGCCACACUGGGACUGAGACACGGCCCAGACUCCUACGGGAGGCUGCAGCAGGGAAUAUUGUGCAAUGAACGAAAGUUUGACACAGCGACACCGCGUGUGGGAUGACGGAUCUAGGUUUGUAAACCACUUUCAGGAGGGAAGAAAAUGACGGUACCUCCACAAGAAGCCCCGGCCAACUACGUGCCAGCAGCCGCGGUAAUACGUAGGGGGCGAGCGUUGUCCGGAUUUAUUGGGCGUAAAGAGCUCGUAGGCGG
Molecule: ribosomal RNA, 534 nt
Filed under: uncultured bacterium
Lineage: Bacteria
Description: bacterial SSU rRNA
Rfam family: Bacterial small subunit ribosomal RNA
Source: RNAcentral